CUCGUUCAGUCUGAUGCAGCCAAGCCUCCUUUCGGCGAAGCAGGUGCCUCACUUCUCUGAGCCUCUUUUCUCGUCUGGAAAAUGUGCACGACAGCCCCUCCCGCCCGGGGUUGUUGCAAAACGAACCGAGAGAGUGCGUGCAAACCGCUCAGCUGGCCCGCGGCGCCGCCGGCCGCAGCGCAGGGUGUGCGCGGCACCUUCUGCGUCCCGGUUUCUGCUCAACACAAAACGCUCCCGUUUCUCUCACGGUGGGAUCCACUAGGAGAAAAUCCAGUUUGGAAACCCGGAGGGCAGAGGACACGUUGUGGCCGUUGCAGGCGAUCAUUGCAAAAAUAAACACAGGUGCAGCCUGGGGCCCUUGCGGGAGGCUGCAGGUGGCUGCGGGAGAGCCACAUUUUACUCCCAAAGGGGGGGAGUGGGGGGGUGGGGGGGAGGGUGGUGGUGGUGGAGGAUCUCUUUUCAGAACCAGUUUCAAGGUGAAGAGUCUGGUUCACCUGAAUAAAAGAAGCUGGACUGAACUCAUCAAUAUUCAUGGUCUGCUAGGGACGCUAUACCAACAUUUCACGGAGGGUGGCUGGGGGGACGGGGUGCUGGGGGAGGUGGGGGGUGUGCCCUAAACAGCUGACAUUUACUUCUCACAGGUCUGGGGGCGGGGAAGUCCAGGAGCACCAUGCCAGGCCAAUUCCUGCUCUGGUGAGAGCUCCCUUCCAGGCUUGCCGCUGGCUGCCUUCUUGCUGCGUCCUCACAGGGCAGACAGAGCUCUGGUGUCUCCUCCUCUUAGAAGCACUUCAAUCCCACCUUGAGGACCCCACUCUCAUGACCUCAUCUAAACCUAAUUACCUCCCAAAGAGCCAGUCUCGGAAGACCAGCACACUGGGGAUUAAGGCUUUGUCAUAUGGAUUUGGGGUGGGGCAUGGCACGCGUCACUUGCAGCACUAUCUACACCGUAUUCCUACUUAUUCCUCUCUCCUGUUACCCACCUGUUCCUAUUAUUCCUAUUAUAUAUAUAUAUACCACCCAACCAUUAGUGGAUGACAAUAGGCAGCUAGACAAUAGUUCAUGAGUAAGUACAUAUAUCUAUAGCUACUUACAUAUAAAGAAACAUACGUAAAUAUAUAUAGAUAUUCAUUAUGGACUGUUGCCCAUUUGCCUAUUAUCUGUUAUUGUUGUUAUCCGCGGAUGGGUGGGUGGGCUACAUCUAUGUUGUCUAAUAGAACUUUCUGCAGGGAUAGAAAUAUUCCAAAUCUGUGCUCUUUAAUAUGGAAGUCAUUAGACAAAUGUGGCUGUUGAGACUUGACACGUGGCUAAUACAACUAAGGAAAUGAAUUGUAAAUUUUAUUGCGUUUUCAUUAUUAUAUUUCAGUUUAAAGAGCCACAUGGGUUACUGGCUACUGUAUUGGACAGUGCAGAGCUAGACCGAGGUGUAUAUACAGUUUCCUCUUUAUUCAAUUUUUUUUUUUAAUUUUUUUUAUUUAUUUUAUGAUAGUCACAGAGAGAGAGAGAGAGGGGCAGAGACAUAGGCAGAGGGAGAAGCAGGCUCCAUGCACCGGGAGCCCGAUGUGGGAUUCGAUCCCGGGUCUCCAGGAUCGCGCCCUGAGCCAAAGGCAGGCGCCAAACCGCUGCGCCACCCAGGGAUCCCUCCUCUUUAUUCAAUUGAUUGGUUGUGUUGAGUUUGGAAAAUCUGGGGUUUAAGACAGUCUCAGUUUUCAGAGUUAACCCAUGUGGGAGUAGGUGAAAACGGUUGUCUCUUUAUAAAUGAGGAACCAAGGCUGAGAGCAGUGAGCCCAAGGUGACACGGUGGGUCAGCGGCUGAGCCUACCUGCCACCUCCAUGUGGUGGUUCCUUCCUCUGUGUAAGCCUCCAGGAAUCUAGGCUUCCUUCUUGUCCCUUCCAGAAGUGAUUUGGGAUGACUCACAGGACAAUGAGGACAACCCCACUCGACCAAGGUAUGGUGUGUGACCACAUAUUCGUGUGUGCCCACGCACCACGUAUGUGUGUAUGUGUGUGCAUUCGCGCAUGCAGGUGUGUGCAUGAGCAGGCCUCCUGUAGAAGGAGGUCGUGUGACCCUCUGCGCAGGAAAGAGGAUGGGGAGCAAACCUGAAUUGUUCACCGCACCCUUCCCCAUCCGUCCCAAAGAGACAGUGUAUUUUAGGUGCAUUUCGAUGACUGGUGUAAUUUUGUAGUCUAUUUUAGGAACAGACCAAAGGUGCUCUGGCAGGGCCAAUUCUAGCAAUGGGAAAGGUUUCUUGGGGUCUGAGCACAAGAGAGGCCGAUGGGGUUUCAAGACACCCUUAGAGUUUCUUCCAAGCGCUGCUAUAAUGCCACACCCACCAAUCCCAACCAUCCACCACCAGGUAUGGAGGGCUUCCUCAGUGCCAGGUCCUGCACUCAGCACUCUACAGAGUCUUACUAUUUCCAGCCCCAAGCCACGAGGCAUGGCCUUCCCCGCCACUUAGGGAGGCACGGAGACACGUACAGCCAGGAUAUUGCCAAGCUGCUCCCAAGCCCAAUCACUUAAACUUUCAGCUCAUUUUUUGGUGGCUGGUUUCACACUCUUCUAUUUUCUCUGUUCCCCUUCAGCCCACCUCAACCAGCUGCUAUCAAGAACAUUUGGGUGAGCCAAUGUUGUAACUGCCAAAAGUCUGGUUCUAAAAUAAGAAUGGGCAAGGUUCCUCCCGAUUCCGGCACCGGAGAGCCUCCCUUGGACACCAUUGUGCCCGAGCAGUUACGUGGGUAGUCUCAUUUUCCACUGGCUUACCGUAUGGUUCUGGUAAUGAGUUCCGGAUCCUUCUUACAGAACUAACGGCCCUUGCUGCCAGACCUUUAAAUACACCAAGUCCAGGCGUUUGGCAGGGAGUUGCUUGCUGGGACUAGGGUAGAAUGCCUGGGGUGAGUUGAGUCUUUUGGUUGUUCUGAAGAAUGACUUCUAGGAGUGGUGGCGCCAUUAAUCAUAAGAACAUGUGGAAUCUGUGGGAGAUUUCCAGCUUGGUCAGGUGGUGAAGGGCUUUUCCUUUCACAGCACUGCUCAAUGCCUGGGUGUCCUGAGCUUGCCCUCUGUUCUGGGGACUUAUGUGUGUCCUGGUUGUCUAGAGUGGGUGGCUGCAAGGGCCUGAGCAUAGGGGUCACCACUUGGGGGUGAUCAAUGGAUCAAGUGUUGACGCUGGCAAGAGAGUAAGUUCCCCAAUGCUAGAAUUUUCCAAGGAGGCAAAUAAAUGUCAAUAAUCCGUCA
Molecule: long non-coding RNA, 3229 nt
Filed under: Canis lupus dingo (dingo)
Lineage: Eukaryota; Metazoa; Chordata; Mammalia; Carnivora; Canidae
Description: lncRNA (ENSCAFG00020004504.1)
Source: RNAcentral